GUGGGGAAUUUUGGACAAUGGGGGCAACCCUGAUCCAGCCAUUCCGCGUGAGUGAAGAAGGCCUUCGGGUUGUAAACUGCUUUUGUACGGAACGAAAAGGCUCUGGUUAAUACCUGGGGCUCAUGACGGUACCGUAAGAAUAAGCACCGGCUAACUACGUGCCAGCAGCCGCGGUAAUACGUAGGGUGCAAGCGUUAAUCGGAAUUACUGGGCGUAAAGCGUGCGCAGGCGGUUUUGUAAGACAGACGUGAAAUCCCCGGGCUCAACCUGGGAAUGGCGUUUGUGACUGCAAAGCUGGAGUGCGGCAGAGGGGGAUGGAAUUCCGCGUGUAGCAGUGAAAUGCGUAGAUAUGCGGAGGAACACCGAUGGCGAAGGCAAUCCCCUGGGCCUGCACUGACGCUCAUGCACGAAAGCGUGGGGAGCAAACAGGAUUAGAUACCCCUGUAGUCC
RNAcentral lists this ribosomal RNA (450 nucleotides) under uncultured bacterium. RNAcentral describes it as "partial 16S ribosomal RNA". It matches the Rfam family "Bacterial small subunit ribosomal RNA", at positions 354 to 796 of the family's 1533-position model. The record is from RNAcentral.